GUUUUAAUAGUUUAAAAAAAACGCUGGUCUUGUAACCCAGAUACAGGAAUAAGCCCCACUUUUAAAACU
Molecule: transfer RNA, 69 nt
Filed under: Oxya agavisa
Lineage: Eukaryota; Metazoa; Arthropoda; Insecta; Orthoptera; Acrididae
Description: tRNA-Thr
Source: RNAcentral